GUUCUCCAAUGCACUACACUCUUAACAACAAAAUGUGGCAGCCGAGCACACAGCACAUCCUGACGCUGAUCCUCUGCAGCAGCCUUUGCCUAAUCAGCGCGAGUCCUCUUCCACAUCCCGCAGGCAAUCAGGAAUUAGAUGUGCUUCAAAUACCUUUGACUAACGGAAAGGAAAUCGAUGUCUUGACACUUGGCGCAAAAGAUCAAGAUCAAUUGAUAGCCGAUCGCAACAAAAGAACUAUUGGACUGCUGCGCGAACUAUUUCCCGACAUCACAAAGCAAAUCGAUGAGCAAGCGAACCGCAUCAUCUCCAAGCUGCUGCGAACUUUAGGUCCAACUGUUCUACGCACCGCCAUCCAGGGCAAUAGCGCGAAUGCGGCACGCGAAACCUUCGAUGCAGACUUUGAUGAUGAUGAUGAUGAUAAUGAUGAGAAGACCAAGAGCGACAACACCGCUGGCAGCAGCGCAAGUGGCACACGAGUCACCAUUGAACUGCCCACCUUUGAGCCCGACAAUGAAAACGAGGUUGAUGCAAAUGAGAAGAGCAGCAGCAUCACGACCACCGCAUCCAAUAGUGAUGCCACCACAGAGGGCGCCACUCGUCGAAAGUAAAAUGUGCGUGUAAUUUGCUACAACAACUAAGCGAUGCAUUCAAAAUUACCAUAUAAAUUGGCACAACUUUUAAUCUGUAUUAAAUUUUGUUCCGUGUUUUCAAAACAGCUACGAAAAUUGGCAAUGCUACAACAACAACAACAACAACAACAACUAAACACAAAAAUAUUAACCGCGCCAUUCACAAUUACUUGAAAUCCGGCAAAAUAGAAAAUAUACUAUAAACAAAAUUAUAUAAGAUGUUAUUAAUACUGGCACUUUUAUGCAAUUCUGUAUUGUUCUAAUGCAUUCAAUAUAUUUUCUCUGUCGAACUAUCCCUCAAUGUUUCUAUUUUCAUUUUCUAUUACUAUCCCUCCAUCUCUCUCUCUCUCUCUCUCUCUUGCUGUCUCUCUCACUCUAUGUCUCUGUAUACGUAUCAAUCUUCAGUUCUCUCCAUAUAUCUCUCUCUAUAUGUCUCUCCUUACAAAAUUUGUUUAUGUAUUUUUACGUUCCUUUCCUUAAAAUAAUAGGUGAUUUUUAUAUUAACAUUUAACUUGUAUUAAUUGUAAAAGUCGUUGUGUGUAUUUUCUAUAUUUUAAAAAUACAAAAAUACUUUUAAUUGUUUGAAUUUGCUGAGCUCAAAUUUAGUGUUUAAGAGUGUAGUCAAAAAUUAUUUUUCGCCCUCGCUCAAGCCCAAUGAGUGCACUAUCAACAUUCAUAAUUCAUGGGUGCGUUCACGAAUUUCACGACCGUAUUCACAACAUUCGCAUGAGCAUCCAUUGCGUUUAUGAAUGCAAUUAUGACAGUAUUUAGUUUUCGAUUAUUCAACUGUUCCACAGGGUAUUCACAUUGGAAAUCAUUCGUUCGCAUUUUCGGUAUCAUUAAAACACGCAUUCUCAACUCGAUUCUUUUAAGUUCAGUGAACAUUUGCUUUGUUCGAUAAAGAGCUUUUUUACAACUAAGAUAAAUAUUCUAAAUUUUACAAAUUAGUUUUUUGAAAAUUUUAGACGUGUUUUAUCUUCUAUAUAUUCUAGAUUGACUAAAAAUUCCAAUGUCAAAUUAAGCCAUAGAAAAUUUUCUACUUCUUGUAGACAGUAAAAUGUAUUCUGUUUUUUUUUUUGACCGUAAUGUAUAAAUAGUGUUUUUCAAUAAGAGGAUGAUGCGUUUUUUAUAAAUUAAUUAACGUAAAACUAAAUCAAGUUCCGUUUUUAGUUUGUAACUAACUAUAUUCUAUACCUGAUCUGAUAAAUUGUCUAUAAGCUGUAAAAUCUUGUACUCAGUUUUAAAAAGGUUCUUUUAGUUUCGCGUAGAGAUGUUCUGUGUUAUUGGAGAACCAACUUUUUCAGCGCAAUAUUUGAACGCUCUCUCUAACAUUUUCACUCUGUCGCUGCUCUGAUAUCCAUGGUCUAAGCUUAGAAUUUAUUUUGCUUUCUGUGGCGUUAAUAUUCCUGUAUUGAUUGCCCAUUUAUCUAUCUGCCUAUGUUUUCUUUUUUGUUUAUUUUGAAUCUUUUUUUCUUUAUUUUCAUGUUCCAUUAAACCGAUUCGAUUUGUGCAAAUAACCAAAAACAAUAAUAUAAACCUAAAACAACAAAACUGAAAAAAAAAAACAAAAAAAAUGAUAUGAAAUCUAUAUAUCCAAAUCGAAAAACUCUUUCGCAAUGAUAUCAUCAACUGCAAUUUAAAAUAUAAUAAUCAAUAUAAUAACGUUAUAAAUCGAAAAAUAUUGUAAAAUGUAUACAAAAAUACACCAAUUGCAUUUGUGCACGUGCAUUUUUUCAUCACCAAUUAAUCAAUCAAAUAUUUGAAUGACAAAAUCGUAUACGAAACUGGCCAAACCCGUAACCCAUAAUGCCAAACAAAAUGUGGAACAAUCCCUUAAAUAACAAUAAUCUCCUGCCUAACAUUAUGUAAUCGAAAAAUUAACACACACACACACACACACACACAUUGACCAAUGACCUAUGUCACUUUACCUACACAUUACACCAAACUCUGUAUUCAUGCUACUUCAAACCCACCACACACACACACACACAAACACACACACACACACACAUAUUACACACAAACAAAUACGAAUGCAUAAACUUAACACUAUGCGUACGCUACAUUGCGCCAAAUCCCGUGUUACGCAAACCAAUCAAUCCACCGCAAACCGCAACUCGCAACUCGCAACACGCAUACACUGAAUCCAAAUGUAUCACACAUACCAAAUGCACAUAAUCAACUCGAAAUUCGAAAUUCGAAAUUCUUUACAAUGCUACAAAUGCCCAUACAAAUGAAAUCCGUUGCAACGAUUCUGCGACACAAUUCUACGGGCAAACCAAUUCCGAUCAUAGAACGGUGCCACCGAUACAAAAAUCGAUCUGUCGGCUAUUAAUAAACAACUUGAGGAGACCAUAAGAGUUGCGCGCCAGGUGAAAGAAGCAGAGGCAGCAGCCGCUGCAGUAGCCCAAUCGCUAAGCUCACCUGUGGCCCAGGCUCCCAUUCCUCUCAAGUCCAACGAGCCCAUUCAGCUGAGCUUUAACAAUGAACUGUCAACGGUUAAUACCGGUAGCAGCAGUACCAGCAGUAGCAGCAGCAACAUUGGAUCCACCGAUGUCAAAGCGCUGAGCACUAACGAUUUGCAGCUAUCAGAAUCGAAAUCCCCGGCCAUAGAUGAGUUGUCGUUGGACUCUGUGGAAGAUACAGCCGAUCUGGAUGAUCGCAACAAGAGUAAUUUAUUUAAAAGGUUCCUGAGUUUCGGAGGUGCUGGUCUGGCUGGCGGCUCCAGCGGCGGCAGUUCGGGAGCUUCGCCUAGUGGCAACAGUUUGGGCGGCGGCGGCGGCGGUUCCGGUAACUUUUUGCUGGAUGUGGUGCGCCUAUUCUCUGGUAGUGUGCAGACCCAGCAGGGCGACGAGGCCGCCAAUAGCGUCGGCGGCGGCUCCAGCAGCAGUAGCACAGAUGAC
Non-coding RNA from Drosophila virilis, 3538 nucleotides. The record is from RefSeq and is a predicted model, not a curated record. NCBI's taxonomy places the organism in Eukaryota, Metazoa, Arthropoda, Insecta, Diptera, Drosophilidae.